The sequence is a small nucleolar RNA, 125 nucleotides long. Its record names the gene SNORD22. It matches the Rfam family "Small nucleolar RNA SNORD22". Rfam says of the family: U22 is a member of the C/D class of snoRNA which contain the C (UGAUGA) and D (CUGA) box motifs. U22 is encoded within the U22 snoRNA host gene (UHG) in mammals and has also been identified in Xenopus. U22 is thought to as a 2'-O-ribose methylation guide for ribosomal RNA. The record is from Ensembl.
UCCCUGUGAAGAAACAUUCACAGUCUUACCUCCUGUCCUAGUCCCAGAACCUGUAAAGGUGACUCCACUGGGGCUGGCUGGGGGAGAAGAGGAAGGCUUGUUCCAGAAGGAACUGUCUGAGGGAA